GCAACGUUACCUUUAAUCUCACUAUAUAAAGCAUGCCUGACCAAACCAUAGCCUUCAAGAAACAGUAUACAGUAGAAGCCGCUCUUCGUUCCAAUCAUUCAGCCAUCGGAGAUCGAUUUUCGAGGAGGAAAUGAAUGCAAGCACCAAGUUCUUUGCUAUCAUUCUUGUAUUUGCCGUGGUUGCCCAUGGUUUGGUGAGUCCUGGCAUGGGAAUGAUCGAGAAUAAGGGUGCAGGAGAGACUAAAGGCGUGAAGCCCACCCUUGGUGUUGGUGGUGGAACCACCGUGGACAACCACCAUGCUAUCCCUCGAGAUCAGUACAGCAGUCAUGGGGAAGGAGACGACGGAGGUAGUGGUGGUGAUACAAACAACUAGUUCGCAGUUCAUGUUCUCUCUGGUGUCAGCUUCGACUUAUAGAAGUGGCUGACUUUGUGGGAGAGAAAGGUUAUAUUUGUGUUAAGAAGGUACUACUUCUCAUGUGAUACCAUGAACAUGUAGCAGCAACCAUAAUCCUUAACAUGAGAAUGUUAUAUGUGUACAAUAUGCAGGCGUUGGUGUGUAGAAUCUCCAAGUAAUAUGUCUGUACGAAUUAUUGUGAUGUCUAAAUGAUGUUCAUCAAAAACCUAAAUGAAAUAUUGUGGUCUCCAA
This is a long non-coding RNA of Panicum virgatum (switchgrass), 646 nucleotides long. RefSeq lists it as uncharacterized. Lineage: Eukaryota; Viridiplantae; Streptophyta; Magnoliopsida; Poales; Poaceae. The transcript has 2 exons. The record is from RefSeq and is a predicted model, not a curated record.